Molecule: transfer RNA, 70 nt
Filed under: Tanakia koreensis (Korean oily bitterling)
Lineage: Eukaryota; Metazoa; Chordata; Actinopteri; Cypriniformes; Acheilognathidae
Description: tRNA-Arg
Rfam family: tRNA
About the family: Transfer RNA (tRNA) molecules are approximately 80 nucleotides in length. Their secondary structure includes four short double-helical elements and three loops (D, anti-codon, and T loops).
Source: RNAcentral
AGGGAGUUAGUCCAAAACAAGACCUCUGAUUUCGGCUCAGAAAAUUAUGGUUCAAACCCAUGGCCCCCUU